CCUACGGGAGGCAGCAGUGAGGAAUAUUGGUCAAUGGACGAGAGUCUGAACCAGCCAAGUAGCGUGAAGGAUGACUGCCCUAUGGGUUGUAAACUUCUUUUAUAUGGGAAUAAAAUGUUCCACGUGUGGGAUUUUGUAUGUACCAUAUGAAUAAGGACCGGCUAACUCCGUGCCAGCAGCCGCGGUAAUACGGAGGAUCCGAGCGUUAUCCGGAUUUAUUGGGUUUAAAGGGAGCGUAGGUGGAUUGUUAAGUCAGUUGUGAAAGUUUGCGGCUCAACCGUAAAAUUGCAGUUGAAACUGGCAGUCUUGAGUACAGGAGAGGUGGGCGGAAGUCGUGGUGUAGCGGUGAAAUGCUUAGAUAUCACGAAGAACUCCGAUUGCGAAGGCAGUUCACUGGACUGCAACUGACACUGAGGCUCGAAAGUGUGGGUAUCAAACAGGAGUAGAUACCCUUGUAGUC
Molecule: ribosomal RNA, 460 nt
Filed under: uncultured bacterium
Lineage: Bacteria
Description: partial 16S ribosomal RNA
Rfam family: Bacterial small subunit ribosomal RNA
Source: RNAcentral